GCGCCAGUAGCUCAGCUGGAUAGAGUGCCUGACUACGAAUCAGUAGGUCGGGGGUUCGAAUCCCUCCUGGCGUGCCA
This 77-nucleotide transfer RNA is filed under the name Bacillota bacterium. RNAcentral describes it as "tRNA-Arg". It matches the Rfam family "tRNA". From Rfam's summary of the family: Transfer RNA (tRNA) molecules are approximately 80 nucleotides in length. Their secondary structure includes four short double-helical elements and three loops (D, anti-codon, and T loops). Further hydrogen bonds mediate the characteristic L-shaped molecular structure. tRNAs have two regions of fundamental functional importance: the anti-codon, which is responsible for specific mRNA codon recognition, and the 3' end, to which the tRNAs corresponding amino acid is attached (by aminoacyl-tRNA synthetases). tRNAs cope with the degeneracy of the genetic code in two manners: having more than one tRNA (with a specific anti-codon) for a particular amino acid; and 'wobble' base-pairing, i.e. permitting non-standard base-pairing at the 3rd anti-codon position. RNAcentral also lists the same sequence under 5 other names. Lineage: Bacteria; Bacillati; Bacillota. The record is from RNAcentral.